Long non-coding RNA from Mauremys reevesii (Reeves's turtle), 542 nucleotides. RefSeq lists it as uncharacterized. The transcript is spliced from 3 exons. The record is from RefSeq and is a predicted model, not a curated record. NCBI's taxonomy places the organism in Eukaryota, Metazoa, Chordata, Testudines, Geoemydidae.
AAGGGAUAAAAGCCCCCACCCCAAUCUGGCCAUGGCUGGCCUGGAUCAGCUGACUCAGAGCCAUUAUUCUAAACCUGAAUUCCAGGGUGAGGCAGGACUGCCAAACACACUGCUUCAGAGAAAGAAAGUGUACAUAUAGAAGUAGUAAGAAACGAAUUUUUCUUCCGACAACUCUAUCCAUGUGCAACUUAACUAUUGAUUGUCCUGCCUCUAAUAGUUUUUGGAUGUCCACCUGUGCACUGAAAUAGAAAAGAUCCUGAGAAGGAUAUGUCCUAAUGCCACCUCAGAAAGUCAACCCUUUCGACCCUGAAAAGGGAGAAGUGCGAGAGACUCCAUGGAGUUGUUUAUGGACUUUGCUGUUGCUAUUUAUGUUAUGUGGAAUACACUCCGAUAUUAUAGAAAAGGAUAGCAGUACAAAACCCUAAAAUGCACCCAUAUGUAUAGGAAUGCCAGACAUGUUUUCAAAAGUAAUGAGUAUUCCAGGUUGUAAUACUGUAGACAAAAAAAAAGUGUUCAUUCAUUAGAAUGUAUGUGUGCAGUGU